UCAGGUGCCUAUAUCGGCGGUGUCCACCUCUUCCCAUUCCGAACAGAGAAGUUAAGCCCGCCAGAGCCGAUGGUACUGCGGUAACACGUGGGAGAGUAGGUCG
RNAcentral lists this ribosomal RNA (103 nucleotides) under Pararcticibacter amylolyticus. Lineage: Bacteria; Pseudomonadati; Bacteroidota; Sphingobacteriia; Sphingobacteriales; Sphingobacteriaceae. The record is from RNAcentral.